UCAAACGGAAUCCUUCGGGAUUUAGUGGCGGACGGGUGAGUAACGCGUGAGAAUCUGCCUUCAGGUUCGGGACAACAGCUGGAAACGGCUGCUAAUACCGGAUGUGCCGAGAGGUGAAAGCUUAAGUGCCUGGAGAUGAGCUCGCGUCUGAUUAGCUAGUAGGAGUGGUAACGGCACCCCUGGGCGACGAUCAGUAGCUGGUCUGAGAGGAUGAUCAGCCACACUGGGACUGAGACACGGCCCAGACUCCUACGGGAGGCAGCAGUGGGGAAUUUUCCGCAAUGGGCGCAAGCCUGACGGAGCAAGACCGCGUGAGGGAAGAAGGUCUGUGGAUUGUAAACCUCUUUUGAUAGGGAAGAAGACAGUGACGGUACCUAUCGAAUCAGCCUCGGCUAACUCCGUGCCAGCAGCCGCGGUAAUACGGAGGAGGCAAGCGUUAUCCGGAAUUAUUGGGCGUAAAGAGUCCGUAGGUGGGUAACCAAGUCAGCUGUUAAAUAGUGAAGCUUAACUUCAUAGAGGCGGCUGAAACUGGUUGUCUAGAGUGUGGUAGGGGUAGAGGGAAUUUCCAGUGUAGCGGUGAAAUGCGUAGAUAUUGGAAAGAACACCGGUGGCGAAAGCGCUCUACUGGGCCUGCACUGACACUGAGGGACGAAAGCUAGGGGAGCGAAAGGGAUUAGAUACCCCUGUAGUCCUAGCCGUAAACGAUGGAUACUAGGCGUUGCCCGUAUCGACCCGAGCCGU
This 741-nucleotide ribosomal RNA is filed under the name cyanobacterium enrichment culture clone 1_16_1.3.1_T7. Its description in RNAcentral is "bacterial SSU rRNA". It matches the Rfam family "Bacterial small subunit ribosomal RNA", at positions 62 to 844 of the family's 1533-position model. Lineage: Bacteria; Bacillati; Cyanobacteriota. The record is from RNAcentral.